AUUGAACGCUGGCGGCAGGCCUAACACAUGCAAGUCGAACGGUAACAGGAAGAAGCUUGCUUCUUUGCUGACGAGUGGCGGACGGGUGAGUAAUGUCUGGGAAACUGCCUGAUGGAGGGGGAUAACUACUGGAAACGGUAGUUAAUACCGCAUAACGUCGCAAGACCAAAGAGGGGGACCUUCGGGCCUCUUGCCAUCGGAUGUGCCCAGAUGGGAUUAGCUAGUAGGUGGGGUAACGGCUCACCUAGGCGACGAUCCCUAGCUGGUCUGAGAGGAUGACCACCCACACUUGAACUCAGACACAGUCCAGACUCCUACGAGAGGCAGCAUUGGUUAAUAUUACACAAUGGGCGCAAGCCUGAUGCAGCCAUGCCGCGUGUAUGAAGAAGGCCUUCGGGUUGUAAAGUACUUUCAGCGGGGAGGAAGGGAGUAAAGUUAAUACCUUUGCUCAUUGACGUUACCCGCAGAAGAAGCACCGGCUAACUCCGUG
This 490-nucleotide ribosomal RNA is filed under the name uncultured bacterium. RNAcentral describes it as "partial 16S ribosomal RNA". It matches the Rfam family "Bacterial small subunit ribosomal RNA", at positions 30 to 507 of the family's 1533-position model. The record is from RNAcentral.